UGAAUGCUUCAGUGACACAUCUUUGGAUCACCCACCUUCCCACUUCGGCAGCCUCCCCUUCCCAGUGCCAAACAAUGCCUUCCAUCUCCAAUCCCGCCUUUGGGAUUUGGAGAGCUGGGGGUCGCCACCCAAACUGUCCUCCCUCCCCCCUCCUCCCUUCCAUCAGGAAGGCAAAAUCAUCCCAAGUUUCCCAAGGACACCCAAGUGGGUGGCCAGCAAAGCGGUGACUGGAAGGAGGAAGGAAAGAAAAGUGGCUGUAGGUCCAGCGCAGAGGCAAGAGAGGAGCAAGGAAGGCCAUCCCAAGGUCUUCAACUGAACCUCACAAAUGAAGGCAAAUAUAAAUGUCCCAGGAUAACGUUGCAGGAUCCAAUCUGGCUCCGUCACCCAGAUCAGAGAUUCUACUCUUCCAGAGCUUCACACAUUCACACAUUCUGGCCAGAGAGAACUUUCUUGAGGAGUAGACUCUGGCAUGAGUCCAAAACCUCAGAAGACUCAACCUCUGAUCCUACUGAUGGAUCCAGACGGGAUUCCUGAAUCAUCUGAAUCUGUUCCGAUCUGCAAAGCUAUUUCUUUCCGGCUCCUGGAUUGGGGAGAAUAAAGUCACCUCGCUGUUCCUGAGCAUAUUCUGAUGAGUCUCUCAUCAGAGAAUAAACAAAGGCGACCUGCUUGCAGGCACCCAGGUUUCCAGGUCAGAAGCCAUGCGGGAAAAUAUCACAAUUAAUGUGUGUGUGUGUGUGUGUGUGUAUUCUAUUUGCCUAGAAGGAGGCCUCGGACUCUGGUCACCCACUCUGUACUCCCACCAUAUCAUAGAGUUUCUGGGAAGCCUGAAAACUGAGUGGGAGAGAGAGAGAGAGAGAGAAAGCUGGGAUAGGAGAGCGUGGAUCAGUUUUUCCUGCAGGAGGCUGGGGGGGGGGGGAGAGAAACAAGGGUGAAUGGAAGAGGUGCUGACAAUGCAACAAAGGAAAAGGGGGACAGGGUGGGCGCCAGACACGGGAUUAAGUCAGAUCCUGCAGACGUGGGCAAAAAUCAAUGGGAGGUGGAAAGGCUGCCCCCCCCUCUCCAAAGGGAGGGUACUUCGGUUUCUUUUGGGCAGAAAAAGUGGCUGGAUAAAAAAAAAAUGAAUGGGAUUCCCUCAAAAGGAGACACAGAUUCUCCCCAGCAGACAUCACAUCCUGGGGUAAUACAUGUGUGUUUUCCUAUCUGUGUUAUCUUGCCUUUCUCUCUAGGAAAUGAAAAGGAAAAAAAAACAUAGGACAUUUUUUUCUUGCUUCUCUGGACUGUCUAAAUGUCCUGACUUCCAGCUUCCCCCAAAAUUAGGACCGGGGAGUUUUGUAAAAAGUAUCUAGUUCUUAUGAUAUUCAGAAAUGGAUUGGUAAGGGUAGGAAAAGUUAAGGCACCAUCCAAGCCAUAAGCCAAGAGACUCUUGGUUCUUAAGAGAAGGCUAAAAAUCUGUGGAGAUUCUCAGUCAUCCAGAUCAUGGUUGUCCCAAGGGUGUUUUUUCCCCCCCAAAAGGCAACUAACUGGACUUUCUUGGUUUUUUUCCCCCCUUGAAAAUGUUUCACUUCUCAUCCAAGAAGCUUCUUCAGUUCUAACUAGAGCAGGGCUUUUCUAGUUUUUUCUUCCCUCCCACAGCAAACGGAUUAUUCCGGAAGGCUUCUUAACCCCUUAUAGAUGUUCAUAGGCAAACACAGAGAGAAUCCAGGCACUAAGAAAGAAAUCAAGCCAGAUGGGCUUAAAUGCCAAACUCUCCUCUCCCAGAGUGGCUGAUUCUUUUAAAUAAAAUGAUUUCUUCCUUGUCAACUAAAACCAUAAAGUUUGGUUCAGAGAGAGCAUCUGGCUGGUUGAGAAAAAUGCCUUUUCCCAUAAAGGCUUGAGAGAACACAUAAAGCUUUUGUUCACUGUCAUACUCGCCCAUCCUAUCGCCCUCCGAAAUCCCACAUCUGUUUAAUGUCCGCAGGGAUUCCAGGCCAUUAUACUGAUUUUUUUUUUUUUGUUCCCUGGGAAAGGAGGAGGGGGAUCUUUCUUGGAUUUAAAAAAAAAAAAGAGUGAAAAA
Long non-coding RNA from Crotalus tigris (Tiger rattlesnake), 2053 nucleotides. RefSeq lists it as uncharacterized. The record is from RefSeq and is a predicted model, not a curated record. The transcript is spliced from 2 exons. Lineage: Eukaryota; Metazoa; Chordata; Lepidosauria; Squamata; Viperidae.